Molecule: ribosomal RNA, 498 nt
Filed under: uncultured bacterium
Lineage: Bacteria
Description: partial 16S ribosomal RNA
Rfam family: Bacterial small subunit ribosomal RNA
Source: RNAcentral
GGAUGAACGCUGGCGGCGUGCCUAAUACAUGCAAGUCGAGCGAACAGACGAGGAGCUUGCUCCUCUGACGCUAGCGGCGGACGGGUGAGUAACACGUGGAUAACCUACCUAUAAGACUGGGAUAACUUCGGGAAACCGGAGCUAAUACCGGAUAAUAUAUUGAACCGCAUGGUUCAAUAGUGAAAGACGGUUUUGCUGUCACUUAUAGAUGGAUCCGCGCCGCAUUAGCUAGUUGGUAAGGUAACGGCUUACCAAGGCAACGAUGCGUAGCCGACCUGAGAGGGUGAUCGGCCACACUGGAACUGAGACACGGUCCAGACUCCUACGGGAGGCAGCAGUAGGGAAUCUUCCGCAAUGGGCGAAAGCCUGACGGAGCAACGCCGCGUGAGUGAUGAAGGUCUUCGGAUCGUAAAACUCUGUUAUUAGGGAAGAACAAAUGUGUAAGUAACUAUGCACGUCUUGACGGUACCUAAUCAGAAAGCCACGGCUAACUACGUG